GACGAACGCUGGCGGCGUGCUUAACACAUGCAAGUCGAACGAUGAAGCUGGAGCUUGCUCCGGUGGAUUAGUGGCGAACGGGUGAGUAACACGUGAGCAAUCUGCCCUUGACUCUGGGAUAACUGCGGGAAACUGUAGCUAAUACCGGAUACGAGAUUUGGAGGCAUCUCCGGAUCUGGAAAGAAUUUCGGUCAAGGAUGAGCUCGGCGCCUAUCAGCUUGUUGGUGAGGUAAUGGCUCACCAAGGCGACGACGGGGAGCCGGCCUGAGAGGGUGGCCGGCCACACUGGGACUGAGACACGGCCCAGACUCCUACGGGAGGCAGCAGUGGGGAAUAUUGCACAAUGGGCGAAAGCCUGAUGCAGCAACGCCGCGUGAGGGAUGAAGGCCUUCGGGUUGUAAACCUCUUUUAGUAGGGAAGAAGCGAAAGUGACGGUACCUACAGAAAAAGCACCGGCUAACUACGUGCCAGCAGCCGCGGUAA
RNAcentral lists this ribosomal RNA (483 nucleotides) under uncultured bacterium. RNAcentral's name for it is "partial 16S ribosomal RNA". It matches the Rfam family "Bacterial small subunit ribosomal RNA", at positions 28 to 523 of the family's 1533-position model. The record is from RNAcentral.